CCUACGGGAGGCAGCAGUGAGGAAUAUUGGUCAAUGGACGAGAGUCUGAACCAGCCAAGUAGCGUGAAGGAUGACUGCCCUAUGGGUUGUAAACUUCUUUUAUAUGGGAAUAAAAUGUUCCACGUGUGGGAUUUUGUAUGUACCAUAUGAAUAAGGAUCGGCUAACUCCGUGCCAGCAGCCGCGGUAAUACGGAGGGUCCGAGCGUUAUCCGGAUUUAUUGGGUUUAAAGGGAGCGUAGGUGGAUUGUUAAGUCAGUUGUGAAAGUUUGCGGCUCAACCGUAGAAGUGCAGUUGAAACUGGCAGUCUUGAGUACAGUAGAGGUGGGCAGAAUUCGUGGUGUAGCGGUGAAAUGCUUAGAUAUCACGAAGAACACCGAUUGCGAAGGCAGCUCACUGGACUGAAACUGACACUGAGGCGCGAAAGUGUGGGUAGCAAACAGGAUUAGAUACCCCAGUAGUC
This 460-nucleotide ribosomal RNA is filed under the name uncultured bacterium. RNAcentral's name for it is "partial 16S ribosomal RNA". It matches the Rfam family "Bacterial small subunit ribosomal RNA", at positions 338 to 795 of the family's 1533-position model. The record is from RNAcentral.